This 501-nucleotide ribosomal RNA is filed under the name uncultured bacterium. RNAcentral describes it as "partial 16S ribosomal RNA". It matches the Rfam family "Bacterial small subunit ribosomal RNA", at positions 29 to 523 of the family's 1533-position model. The record is from RNAcentral.
AUUGAACGCUGGCGGCAUGCCUUACACAUGCAAGUCGAACGGCAGCACGGGUGCUUGCACCUGGUGGCGAGUGGCGAACGGGUGAGUAAUACAUCGGAACGUACCUUAUCGUGGGGGACAACGCAGCGAAAGCUGUGCUAAUACCGCAUACGUCCUGAGGGGGAAAGCGGGGGAUCGCAAGACCUCGCGCGAUUAGAGCGGCCGAUGCCUGAUUAGCUUGUUGGUGGGGUAAAAGCCCACCAAGGCGACGAUCAGUAGCUGGUCUGAGAGGACGAUCAGCCACACUGGGACUGAGACACGGCCCAGACUCCUACGGGAGGCAGCAGUGGGGAAUUUUGGACAAUGGGGGCAACCCUGAUCCAGCAAUGCCGCGUGAGUGAAGAAGGCCUUCGGGUUGUAAAGCUCUUUUGUCAGGGAAGAAACACCGGCUCUAACACAGUCCGGGAAUGACGGUACCUGGAGAAUAAGCACCGGCUAACUACGUGCCAGCAGCCGCGGUAA